Small nucleolar RNA from Elaeis guineensis (African oil palm), 213 nucleotides. RefSeq annotates it as small nucleolar RNA U3. The record is from RefSeq and is a predicted model, not a curated record. Lineage: Eukaryota; Viridiplantae; Streptophyta; Magnoliopsida; Arecales; Arecaceae.
ACGACCUUACUUGAACAGGAUCUGUUCUAUAGGCUCGUACAACCGUAUCCUUGAUUGUAAAGGAGACGGGUAACUCAGUCUGGUUGAUGACGCCAGACCUCAGGGCCAGAGCGUGAUUGACGGCAAGGAUCUUUCAAAGAUCUCGUGCUGUAGAGGAUCGUUCUCAUGCGAUCAACCGUCGCCUGGGAUGGCCCUGAGGUGGUCUGACGGACU